AUACGGAGGAUCCGAGCGUUAUCCGGAUUUAUUGGGUUUAAAGGGUGCGUAGGCGGCCUUUUAAGUCAGCGGUGAAAGUCUGUGGCUCAACCAUAGAAUUGCCGUUGAAACUGGGAGGCUUGAGUAUGUUUGAGGCAGGCGGAAUGGGUGGGGUAGCGGUGAAAUGCUUAGAUAUCACGCAGAACCCCGAUUGCGAAGGCAGCCUGCCAAGCCAUGACUGACGCUGAUGCACGAAAGCGUGGGGAUCAAACAGGAUUAGAUACCCUGGUAGUCCACGCAGUAAACGAUGAUCACUAGCUGUUUGCGAUACAGUGUAAGCGGCACAGCGAAAGCGUUAAGUGAUCCACCUGGGGAGUACGCCGGCAACGGUGAAACUUAAAGGAAUUGACGGGG
Molecule: ribosomal RNA, 393 nt
Filed under: uncultured bacterium
Lineage: Bacteria
Description: partial 16S ribosomal RNA
Rfam family: Bacterial small subunit ribosomal RNA
Source: RNAcentral